ACUUCCUCUGGGAGCCUUGGUAUUCCUUGAACAUGCCUACCUUUCCCAGCGUGAGGGACAUGGACCGCGCUGUGCGAGGGACCCCGUCUUCUGCAGCAGGAGGGAACAGAGAAGAGAAGGCAGGGAUUCCUGUGGCUAAAAGGUCUGUUUUCUCCUGCUAACACCACCCUCGUCAGCCAGAGCCCAAACCCUGGCAGUUCCCAAGGAGAGAUCCUGGUCCCAGGCACCGUCUUCCUCCUCCUGGACGGCGGCAAGAGCCUCCUCACGCGUCUCUCCAGGCCUCAGCGUCUACACUCCCUAACGCACUGCCCACUCUGAAGUCAGACAAAUCUGCUGAAAAUAAAAUCUGACAUGUCAGGUGGCAUAAACUUA
This is a long non-coding RNA of Equus quagga, 372 nucleotides long. RefSeq lists it as uncharacterized. The record is from RefSeq and is a predicted model, not a curated record. The transcript has 2 exons. Lineage: Eukaryota; Metazoa; Chordata; Mammalia; Perissodactyla; Equidae.